GGGGUAACACUCUUUUGGAAAGGACAGCUGAACUUAGCCUCAAGUAAGUCCAGAUGUCCUUUCAACAAAGAAUUGGAAAUCAUAGAUGCUGCAUCCUCAGUUUCAAACAAUAUCUCCAGGUUUAGGAGCAACAUCUGUGUUCAUCCAGACAAUGAAUGGUUACGAUCAGCUAUGAUCGGCAGAUACGACCUUUUGUAGCCGUUCCGCAUCAGUGGAAAUUGGGAGUGAGACUCUUGACAGAAAGACCAGGUGUCUUUGCGUCCUUUAGGAAGACCCUGGCCUCUGCUGAGGUCAAAGUGAUGGACUCUUUACGUUCUCUUCCAUCAGUGUGAGGAUGUGACCCGAACUAAAUCAGACCAUUGUUUCCUGAAGUCGAUCUUUGUCAGACAAUAAUGAAGUGGCUCUUAGAUCGGGAGGGAAAAGAGGGAUGAGGUAAGAAGGAAAGAAGGUUGUUGUUUUGAUCACUCCACCUUCAUCCUCCCCCCUCGCUCUUUAACCUCCCCCAUCCGCUCUCAGGUGUGCAGGUUUGUGAUGCGGGCUCAGCGGCAGCGGCGUGCGUGCAGACAGGACGCUGUGACGGGUUUUAUCUCUCCAUGAAGCAGAGGCAAACAUUCUCACUGUUGCUCUGAAUGUUUUUGUGUUUCCUCUUUUUUCCACACCUUUGAAGUUUCAGAGCAAAAACAGAAAUUAAAGCCGCACGGUUGCAGCGCGGUGACAUCAGCUCUGCGGGGUUAUUAGAGUUCGUAAACUGGGCUUAUUUAUAUUGUCAUAAAAACUUCUGAGGAGCGGAUAAAGAGAGAGGAGCAUUAAAGUUAUUUCUACUUACCAAACUCAGUCCAAAUGGAGGUUUUAGCAGCAGGCCUGAAAUCAGAACCUUAUUACGGUGGACCGACUCUGCAGAGUGGAAAUGAAAUACAGAGAAAGUGAAUCCAUCCCAUAAAAAAGAAGAGAAGAUCCACUUCUUCAGACUCGUAUUGAAAGUCCCGUGUUUGAACCUGGAUGAUAAAUCGGGGCGUAGAAGUGUGACUGAACAUUAGCAGGAUUCACCUGCAGGCGCUCUCUCAGUCUAUCACACAUGAAAUGAAAUUCUCCCAGCAUUUAGACGCGGGAACCACAGAAAUGUGAAUUUUAAUAAGAUUUCAGGUUACAUUAAUGAAUGUGUCUUUGUGGUUUUCUGCUUUAUCACUCUGAACUCUUCCUGUAUCCUGAUAAAAAUCCACAUUUAGUUCACAGACAUCCAAACAAUGUCUACAGACUCUCUUCUGACAGAUUCGAUGAUUCAGAAACCUUCAGACUGUAAACACUGAACGUAAAUGUGCAGAUUGUCUGAAUCUGUUCCAUAUAUAGUUUCUGUUUCCAUAUACAGACAGAGUAACCUGGAGUAGGCGGGGCUAAUUCCAGACCUUUUUUUUAUAACAUUUCCUAAAGUAACACCAAAGAGGAAAGUAUGAAAAAGGAUUAAGGCCACAAGUAGAGAAGAAAAAAACAAUUACAGGAGAGAGAUUUUUUUAAUUUUCAUUUCAAGGCCGAAGUCGAAAUUUCAGCUUUAUUCGUGUUGACUUUAAUCUAAAAUGUUUUAUUUUUUAAUCUCUGUAUUUCAAUUUUCAAUCUCUCAAUUUUAUUUUUUUAAUCUCUAUUUUUCAAAUUUUAAUCUGAAAUUUUUUUAAUCUCCAUAUUUUUUAUUUUUAAUCUUGAAAUUUCGAUUUUAAUCUCCUUCCUGUAAUUAUUAUUUUUUCUCUACAUGUGGCAUUAAUCCUCUUUUGUAGGAAAGAGAGUCCUCAUCACAGCGGCUGUGUUCAGUGUUAAGAUCUGUCCCGUCUUUGAUGAUGCUGUGUUUUAUUUAAUUAAAUAUGUCCUAGUAAUAAUGCUGCGUUUAAGAUACCUUGGAAAUCAGAUGUUGGAGUUUGCUUGUUUGUGUUGGCAGUUGUGGCCAAAGGAGGAUUCAGACAAUUUUCGGAACUUUCUGGUUGGUUUCUACUGUCCGAUAUUGUAGCACGCUAACUUUGUUUGGGCUCCUGAACGACACGGGGGAGCAGCGUCUGCCUCACAACCAAUCAGGUUGGGGAGGCGGAUAACGACUUUGUUUACAGUCAGAAAGAGCUCAAAAAUGUUAAAAUGGUAAAAUGUUGACUACACAGACAUAAGAGAACACAGAGAUAUCGUUCUAAUCCCAAACGUCAUCAAUAACUAAUAACUAUUGACUGAUAUUAAAAGAUUUUUUGUAAAUACACCACAAAAAAAUAUGCUUCUUUAAUGGAUUCCUGUCUACACCACCUUUAAUUCUGUUUUAAAAUCAGGUUCACUCCUGCCGUCUAUGACAUCUUUGAGACUAACAUCCUUCAUUUUUAACGUUAUUGUCGGUUUUUGUCAGCUGGUCCAUCAGGUCACCGCUUGGCCUCAUGGGAGUUGAAGUGAAAUGAAGUAGCCGAGUGUCUGAAUCUAAACAGGUUUAUUUUCUAUUUACAACAUGAGGCUGUAUCUUUGACUACAUGUGACUCUUUCCCUCCUCUCCUCGCUCUUCUCACUCUCCCCCUCUCCCUCUCCCUCUCUCUCUCUCUCCCUCUCUCUCUCUCUCUCCCUCUCUUUCACUCGCUUCCUCUCUCUUUGUUUUUGUUCUUCCGUACGUGUCAGGACGUCUUGGCAGCGUUGUGUUGUGUGUAAUGAAACGCUGACCUUUUGUGAGCCACACUGUAAUUGGCCAAAUCAGCAGAGCUUUCCCACGCUCCACAAAACACAAUUCACUGAAUUCUCACACACACACACACACACACACACACACACACACACACACACACACACACACACACACACACACACACACACACACACACACACACACAGGAUUGUAAUAUCAGCAUGUUUUGUGCUCAGACUCUUUCUCUGGGGCGAGCCAAAGGUCCAGAGCUGCUUUAAAAACUCUGUGUUUUCAUGCCAAGCUGCAGCUGGACCUGCACUUUCUGCUGGUUUUGGUUCAUUUAACGUGUGAAUAUCAAAAUUUUCUUCAGAUACACACUGAAGUCUUUAAAUUCAACCAAAGCCAUCGAAUCUCAGACUAACACUUCCUAAAACACAGGCCGCUCCUCCACAAUCACUGUGAAUAUGUUUCACAGAAACCUCUCGCACCUGUGUCCUAAACCCAACAGGAAGUCUGAUCUGGAUCUGCAGGUCUGGACUGUUUGGAUUAAAGCUACAUUUCACUGGCCCAGACUCCCUUAGAGCUGGUCGGUGGUACCUGUCCUCAUGCUGAUCCAGAGUCAUGUUGUUUCAUAAUCAGGAGUGAGUUAGCAGGCUUACCUGUCAUUACCUACAGCCGGCAAGAGCUACUUAGCCUGCUGCCUCCCACUUUAACCACUCCAGAUCACAAUGUUUUGGCUUCCAAUUAUUCUGGGAUAAGGAGGAGAGGCCGCAGAGGUGGUGUCCUGGUCAGAAACAGCCAGCAUGGAUUCAAGCUUGUUUUACUAUCUGUCAUUUUGGGGUAUUUACGCUCCUCAGUAAAUAAAGCGGAUGAGUUGGCUGCAUGCCUGAAGUGUGAUCGCCGGUAGGGCCCGACUGAUUUAUCGGCGAGCCGAUCAAAUCAGCCAAUUUAGCCCGUUUGAGACUAAUAGGUAAUCGGCCAAAACUCCUUGAUUUUCGCGAAUAUUUUCAGAAAGAAAAUGCGGAGAAUAAGAUUGGGUUUCAGUUCCAAAAUGUUCCACCAUUUGAAAAGUUCCCAGACUUAUCCUGUAGAUGGCGCAGUGACCUCAUGACAAUCUUCAUCCACUAACUACCUCACAGCACAGCAGAGUGACAGCUCUGAAGCAGGCAGCUCAGGGACGCACAGAGGAGAGUGGUCCGCCUCAACGGUAAAUAAACCAGUUUUUUAAAUACACAAUAAGUCAACAAGUUUCAGUUCAACCCACUUCACGACGUUCCCCGCUGUGCUGGUCUCGGUCACGCCGAGUUAACGGUGAAGCACCAUGUAAUAUGCAAGCUAAAGUUAGAGUUAGCCAUCUGCUAUCAGCCUUGCUAUACUGUUAGCCGUACCUGUAACGGUAGAAUUAAACAAGGAGGGGUAGUUGAAAAUGCUUUUCUGGUCCGAGUUUGAUUAGUCGGUCUUCCUGUCGGUGUGAACUGCAGUAGCCUACAGUAUAUCCCCCUUUAACAAUUAGAACUCCCCUGGAUCACCGGCGAUCCCACGUGACAUCAUUAAUAUUGUUCACAGUUUCUCAGGAACUAUACCGUGUAUCUCUACAGGAUGAAAAGUGUUCUAUCGAAGGUUUCCAGAUAUUUCUACACCUGCCACAAGGUUUACAAUCCAGCCACAAAAAUAGGUGUUUGAUCAGAGACAUUUGAUGUUAAAGGUCCUUUCACAUUGGGGGUGUUUUUUUCGUGUAAUUAUUUCGGACGUCAAUAUUUUUUUUCGAACCCGUAUCCUGUCAAUACAAGCGUUCACAUCAACAACGUUUUCCCAUCCUGCAAUGUU
This 4462-nucleotide long non-coding RNA is filed under the name Xyrichtys novacula (pearly razorfish). Lineage: Eukaryota; Metazoa; Chordata; Actinopteri; Labriformes; Labridae. The record is from RNAcentral.